GACGAACGCUGGCGGCGUGCUUAACACAUGCAAGUCGAACGGAAAGGCCCUGCUUUUGUGGGGUGCUCGAGUGGCGAACGGGUGAGUAACACGUGAGUAACCUGCCCUUGACUUUGGGAUAACUUCAGGAAACUGGGGCUAAUACCGGAUAGGAGCUCCUGCUGCAUGGUGGGGGUUGGAAAGUUUCGGCGGUUGGGGAUGGACUCGCGGCUUAUCAGCUUGUUGGUGGGGUAGUGGCUUACCAAGGCUUUGACGGGUAGCCGGCCUGGGAGGGUGACCGGCGACAUGAGGACUGAGAUACGGCGCAGACUGCUAUGGGAGGCAGCAGUGGGGAAUAUUGCACAAUGGGUGGAAGCCUGAUGCAGCAACGCCGCGUGCGGGAUGACGGCCUUCGGGUUGUAAACCGCUUUCGCCUGUGACGAAGCGUGAGUGACGGUAAUGGGUAAAGAAGCACCGGCUAACUACGUG
Molecule: ribosomal RNA, 468 nt
Filed under: uncultured bacterium
Lineage: Bacteria
Description: partial 16S ribosomal RNA
Rfam family: Bacterial small subunit ribosomal RNA
Source: RNAcentral